Molecule: ribosomal RNA, 432 nt
Filed under: uncultured bacterium
Lineage: Bacteria
Description: partial 16S ribosomal RNA
Rfam family: Bacterial small subunit ribosomal RNA
Source: RNAcentral
CCUACGGGUGGCUGCAGUGGGGAAUAUUGGACAAUGGGCGCAAGCCUGAUCCAGCCAUGCCGCGUGAGUGAUGACGGCCUUAGGGUUGUAAAGCUCUUUCGCUCGCGACGCGGUAGCGAGAGAAGAAGCCCCGGCUAACUUCGUGCCAGCAGCCGCGGUAAUACGAAGGGGGCUAGCGUUGUUCGGAAUUACUGGGCGUAAAGCGCACGUAGGCGGAUUGUUAAGUCGGGGGUGAAAUCCUGAGGCUCAACCUCAGAACUGCCUUCGAUACUGGCAAUCUCGAGUCCGGAAGAGGUUGGUGGAACAGCUAGUGUAGAGGUGAAAUUCGUAGAUAUUAGCUAGAACACCAGUGGCGAAGGCGGCCAACUGGUCCGGACUGACGCUGAGGUGCGAAAGCGUGGGGAGCAAACAGGAUUAGAUACCCUUGUAGUC